AAUGUGAGGAUGAGUUUUUGGAAUGCCUCCAAGUCUUGACAUCUCUUCCAACACCUACAAUUGUUCCGUACAGAGAUGAUGUGAACAGAGGGCUACGUCCUGUCCUGAAUGACAAAAAGCGAGUCAUUCGAAAAGUCGCUGCUACUACCAGGUCUUCGUGGAUUCUUGUUGGUGCUCCAGGGGGUUCUUAGCCCACUUGAUAUCUUUUUUAGGUACUUUCUACAGUUCUAGAAGAAUUUUCUUUACUUUUUUUCCCCUUUAUCUCCUUUGUUUGUUUGUUUUUUUAUUGGCUUUUGUUUCUUCCUCUUUUUAUUAUUGUUAUUAGUUUAGAUGAUAAAUAUUUGUUGAAGUGUUUCUUUUAAUCUAAAAUGUAUUUAAAGAUACUAUAAGUUGAGAAUAUUCUAAGGUCAGAUAUGUUUAAAAAAAAUAAUUUGUUUAUUUAAGCAUCUCCAAACUUUAUUCCAUAUCCUAUUAGGACUUAAAGAAAAAAAAUUAAAUGGUUUGUGUCAGUAUAUUGCAUAAAACAAAUUUUCAAACACUCACUUAAAAGAAAUCUGAUUCACAAAAUUAUUCCUAAUUAUCCCAAUUUCUUUAGUUUUUUACUCCAGAACUGCAUAGGUAUUGUCUUUUGAUUUUCAUAGAUGUCAGAGAGAAUAAAUGUUUGGAUUCAGGUAUUAAGUUAAGAGAGGUGAAGUUUUUACUUGUUUUCUAAGAUGAUUUUUUUUACAUACAGCACAUUUAAUUUGGUUGUAAGAAUUUUAUAGCAAUAAAUGCUGUAAACUCGA
Long non-coding RNA from Penaeus monodon (black tiger shrimp), 785 nucleotides. RefSeq lists it as uncharacterized. NCBI's taxonomy places the organism in Eukaryota, Metazoa, Arthropoda, Malacostraca, Decapoda, Penaeidae. The transcript has 2 exons. The record is from RefSeq and is a predicted model, not a curated record.